GCUUAGACAUGAAGGGCUGGGUUUUAUUUCUCCAGUAGUUGGGUUCUACUGCCAGAAAUGUCAGGAAUUCAUUGGAGAUUUGAAUUCUGCUGAAAACCAUGCAACUUUCCACCAAAGUCGGUUGGACAAGCAUGCUAGAGACAGCAAAGGUCACAGCAGCAGCAGCACCAGCAGCCAGCCCUCCCAUUCAGCCUCCUGGAGUGACAGAGAGCUGCAGCGGAACUGGAAGGAUGAGAAGGAGCUCCGGAGCAGCCAACGAGACAGCAGGUCUGAGCAGGCAAACAUCUGCUUUCAGGAAGAGAUGAAGAAGGAGAGGAUGCUCAUAACCGUCAACAGAGGGCUAACGCCUUCACCUCAAAGUGUCACCUUGAAACAAGAGAACAAGGAGCACGGGAAAGGCAAAGAGAAACCAGUCGGCAGCGAGAAAUCGUCCAAAACCAGCAGAGAGAAGCACAAGACGGAAACUUCUGAGAGCUGUGACAGCAGUGAAGAGAGAAAUCACCUAAAGUCAGACAACCUAAAAAGAAAAAGAAGAAGGAGAAAAAGAAGAAGAAGAAGAAGAGUAAGGAUUAGUGUUUGUAGAGUAUGGCUUUCUGGAAAUGCUGACGCAUCGCUGCAGCUCAACGUUAAAACUUUCAGGUCUUAAAUUUCAUUAAGAAGCCACUUUCUGUAUUGUUGUUCUUUGGUUCUGACCUGCGAAGAAAGUUCACCCUAAAAAUCCAACACUGACUUUGCUGCAUUGGUAAGUUCUCCUGCACAGAGAAAAAACAUAGAAGUGUCUGUGUGUGUCACAGAGAGGGAUGGUGGUAGGAGUCACAACCGGAUUGGAGUUUUGAGGCAAAUGCAUUUAAUCCCUUUCUUUUCAGACGUUCAUCUUUUUAUCUUUAUUCCUCAGUCUGUAGUUUUAACAUGGAACCUGGGGUUGGCUGAUGGUGGGAAUGUCUCCAAUACUGUCCUUGCGUUCUGAGUCCACCUUGUAAACACAUCGAUCUUUACUGGUUCCAUUUAUUUACAUCACAAAUGGCUAAUUGUCGUCACAUUUAUUAGGAGUAUUUUUCAGUUCUUGUUUAUUUUCCUAUUUUUCAUCAGAACUCCCAACCUGACACGUGUCUGUCUUGUGAUAUUGUAAAUAAAAAACCCAAACCUUUGUAAUAAAAUGUGUGAAAAGUCA
This is a long non-coding RNA of Poeciliopsis prolifica (blackstripe livebearer), 1171 nucleotides long. RefSeq lists it as uncharacterized. The transcript has 3 exons. Lineage: Eukaryota; Metazoa; Chordata; Actinopteri; Cyprinodontiformes; Poeciliidae. The record is from RefSeq and is a predicted model, not a curated record.